RNAcentral lists this long non-coding RNA (503 nucleotides) under Phoenix dactylifera (date palm). Its description in RNAcentral is "long non-coding RNA (PDAC_LNC005110)". Lineage: Eukaryota; Viridiplantae; Streptophyta; Magnoliopsida; Arecales; Arecaceae. The record is from RNAcentral.
CUUCCGAGGCGUAUCGAAGAAGAAGUUUAAGGUCAUCGUAUCUUUGAGGAGCAUUGCCGGAAGAUCCGUACGUAGGGACAAAUACUUUUUUAGGAUAGUGUCUACGCGCUUCAACCUGCCUUCAAUCAAGCUAUUUUCUCUAACUUUUGUUUUAAAUUUAAUAUUAGUAGAUCAGUAGGAUUUGCAAUUUUAUGAUUUGAAUUUAUUAAAUGAAUAGAUUAUUUUAUGCUAUAAUAGAUUUCUUUUGUGAUAAAAUAGAUUUAUUUUGAUCUCGGAUAAAAUAUAUAUUAUUCCGUUUAAGAUUUUCUAUUAAUUGCAAUUAUUAGAUUUAUUUGUUUAUUUAGGUGAUAUAUUGCUAACAAUCCAAAAAAGUGAUUGUUUAUUUUUUUUGUUAGUAAUAUAUAAUUCAGUAAAUCAUUCUAAAAAGAUAAUAAUUUAGUUUAACCUCUAACAUACCUCCAUUUGGACUCCUCAAGGAGUAAUUUUCAGAUCCCAUUCAAACA